UAUAGGCAUCAUAAACGAUAUGGAGUAUACAAAUUAAGUAAUAAAAGGGAUUUGUAAGGAUACCUAGCAGAUAUAUUUUCAAAGGAUAUAAAUAUAAAAAGUUUAAGUUAAUAAUUUGUAAACUUGGACAAUCCUAAGGAAAACCAAUAAUAUUUUUUACGUUGGGAAUUAAAACAUUUUAGUACCAAUAGGAAAGGAAAUCAAAUGAGACUUCUGGAGUAAUGGUGAGUGAAACAGAAUUAGCUUUAUUAAUAAAAUUCUAGCUUUUAAAAGUUAUGAUAAUAUUGUGGAAUUCAAUAAAUACAAAGAAUAAUUAAUUAUUUUUAUGUUACCAAAGAUGGUGAAAGUCCAAAAUCAUUUAGAAUUUUUAUUCUAUUCGACUUUUAUGCAACAUAAGUUGCUAAUUAGAAUAUUUAUUAAUUUAUUAAGUAAUAUGGAGACGGCUGCUCUGUAUGAAUUAUAUAUAAUGGGAUACCAUUCUCAAAAGCUAAGUAUAAUAUAUCUAGCGAUAGUGAAGAGUAACGUGAGUGAAAGGUGAAAAGUAAGUGUAUGACUAGUGAAAGAGAUCUUGAAUUACAAAUCUUAAAAGCAAUUAGAGUCUAAUAGUUAUUAGAUGAUAAUGUACCUUUUGCAUAAUGGGUCAGCAAGUUAAUCUUUAAUGCAAGAUGAAUAUAAUCUUAGUGAAAACGUUUAUGAAAAAUAUAUAUUUUUUAUGAGUAAAGUAUUAAGGAUUAGAUCCGAAACCAGAUGAUCUUUUUAUGACCAGGUUUUAAAAGGACCGAACGUAUGAAUGUUGCAGUAUUCUGCGAUGAGUUGUGAAAAGUGGUGAAAUGCUAAUCUAAUCUGGUGAUAGCUGAUAUUCUGCGAAAUCUAUUUUAGUAGAAAGUAUUAAUAGAUUAGUUUCUGUAAGAAUAAGAUAGAAUAUAUUUUUAUCUUACUUUGUAUAGCACUGAUUUCCAUUCCUUUUUCUGAGGAACCUUAGGUACCUCGGAAUCAUAGGAUAAAUUAGGGGGUUAUUAACUCUACUAUUGGAAGUUAACCUCAGAAGAAGACAUAAUUGAUUUAAUACUGACAGUCUAUUUGUGAUAAGGUAAAUAGACAAGAGGGAAACAGCCCAAAUCAUAUAUUAAAGUACCCUAAUAAAUAUUAAGUGAAAGUAAGAAAGUUUUUUAUCUAUGACAACUAUGAAGUAAGCUUGGAAGUAGCUAUCUUUUAAUGAAAGUGUAACAACUCAAUAGUCUAAUUUGUUAAAUUUAAUAGAUUUAACUUUGAUAAAAAGCAUCAAAAAUUUUCGGGUCUAAAUAUUUAACUUAAAUUAUGAUAUUAAUAAAUUCAUUUUUAUUUACAUAUUGUUAGAUUAAAUUGAAUUUUUAAUAAGGUAGCAGAACACUUAGUAGUUAGGUUGAAGAAUAUUCAGAAGAAUAUUUGGACUCUACUAAAGAGAUAAUGCUGGCAUGAGUAACGAUUAAGAAGUUAAAAUACUUCUCGCCGAAUACGAAAGGUUUUCAUGAAAAAGGUGAUCUGUCAUGAAUUAAACAGAUUCUAAGGAAUAAUGAUGAAUAAUUAUUAUCCGAUGAAAUAGAAAAAUAUAUAACUUGGUGCAACCUAAAGUUGCUUAAGUUCAAGAAAAGUAUUUUUUUAAGAUAAAUUAUAUCUGUACCUUAAACCGACUCAGGUUCGUUAGUAGAGUAUACUAAGGCGUAGAGAUAAAGCUAGUGAAGGAACUCGGCAAAAUGCUUCCGUAAGUUCGACGAUAAGGAAGGAUCUCUUAUUAUUAAUUGAAAUAAAAAUUUCAAUUUCUUUAAGAGAUUAACAUAAAAGUGGGGGCUUCGACUGUUUACUAAAAACACAGCAACUUGCUAAGACUAAAAGUACUUGUAUAAGUUGUGAACUCUGUCCAAUGCCAAUCCGUGUAAAGAAGGUAAUUUUCGAGAGAAAUGUUACUAACUGAUGCGGUGGUCAAUGACGGUCUUAACCAUAAGGAUCUGAAAGUAGAGCGAAAUUCCUUGGCCAUUAAAUGUGGUCCUGCAUGAAUGAGGUAACGCAGCCCUGCUGUCUCCACUAGUUUCUCAGUGAAAUUGAAUUAGCCGUGCAGAUGCGGUUUGCCUUCCGGAGGACGCGAAGACCCUAUGCAGCUUUACUGUAAUUUGAUAUUGUUCUUGAUUAAGUUUAGUGUAGAAUACAAGGGAGUGUAAAGUCGACUCAUCUCAUCCUCCAGGUGUAGUAGCUUGGAAGGGUUCAGCUGUUCGCUGAAUAAAGAGGUACGUGAGUUGG
Molecule: ribosomal RNA, 2274 nt
Filed under: Malassezia yamatoensis
Lineage: Eukaryota; Fungi; Basidiomycota; Malasseziomycetes; Malasseziales; Malasseziaceae
Description: LSU rRNA
Rfam family: Bacterial large subunit ribosomal RNA
Source: RNAcentral